Molecule: ribosomal RNA, 320 nt
Filed under: uncultured bacterium
Lineage: Bacteria
Description: bacterial SSU rRNA
Rfam family: Bacterial small subunit ribosomal RNA
Source: RNAcentral
GAUGAACGCUGGCGGCGUGCUUAACACAUGCAAGUCGAACGAAGCACUUACCAAGGAUUCUUUCGGGAUGACUAAUAAGUGACUGAGUGGCGGACGGGUGAGUAACGCGUGGGUAACCUACCUCACACAGGGGGAUAACAGUUAGAAAUGACUGCUAAUACCGCAUAAGCGCACAGUGCUGCAUGGCACAGUGUGAAAAACUCCGGUGGUGUGAGAUGGACCCGCGUCUGAUUAGCUGGUUGGUGAGGUAACGGCCCACCAAGGCAACGAUCAGUAGCCGGCCUGACGAGGGGUGAACGGCCACAUUGGAACUGAGACAC